RNAcentral lists this long non-coding RNA (820 nucleotides) under Musa acuminata (dwarf banana). RNAcentral's name for it is "long non-coding RNA (MACU_LNC008087)". The record is from RNAcentral. Lineage: Eukaryota; Viridiplantae; Streptophyta; Magnoliopsida; Zingiberales; Musaceae.
AAGAAUGGAAUUGACUACUAAGAGAAAGAGCGCUUUCACACCUGAUUUAGACCCAUAGGAGUUAGCCGGGGAAGUGAGUCUUGUUUUCGGAAACUAGUAGUAGCUUCUUGGCCCUGGUUUAUUCUAUUCCCUUUGUCCGUUAGCGAGCGAAACACCAUUACUUGUUAGAAGCUGUGCUACGUUUCCUGCAGGAAGCCGCUUUGAAACAACAAGCAAAGUAGCGGGAACAAGACAAGCAAGGGCUAUAACUCCACAAGCAAUGCAGGGGAAGAAAUAAGGUCGGAGUGCCUAUCUUCAACAAGACGUGGUGCGCUAACAGAGAAGAGAGAAAAUGAUUUGUUGCGGGAAGGAACUGAAGUGAAGGUACGAAUCAAUUCUAUCUCAAGCUUUAUCGAGAAAGUAUCAAGGAACAGUCAAAAAAGAAAGUAGGGAAGAUCAUCUCGAAGAGAAGAAUGCCCACCCGCCAAGUCCUUCUCUUGGGAGUCCUAAUCUAGAGCGGCAGUAGCUAGUGAGCCCCACUAAUUGAAGUAGUUUAUCAUCUUUGUUUCUCAAUUCCAACUGUGUGAGUAUUCGUUGCUUGCCCUCGAAAGAUUCCUGUCCUGGUUGACUCGGUAUCAGGGUUUACUGUUCGGUAAGAAAGGGAAUCCGGGUUGACUGUUCCUUAAAGUAGUAUUGGAUAGAGAAACCCUUCUGUUAAGGUAUAGAAUGCAGUUGACUAAACUCUAGUAGUAGCAGCCCAGUAGUGAAUGGUUUGAGUUUCAGACCUGAUUGAGAGUUUCAUCCCGAGUUCAUCCUAGUCUCUAAGAGAAGUAUCCGGUAG